CCAAUCCCACAGGGCGGGGGACGGGGCCAGCGUCGCUAGGCAACAACAGAGACUAUCAGCUGGUUGCAGCUGAUCAUCUUUCAGAGGCGGACGACGACUACGAAGAUUUCUCCUCUUCCGUCACAGACGUGACCAACCUGUGUUCACCUGGUGGCAUCGGGUUUAAUUGUCGUAUCCAGAAGCCCCGAGGACCCAGAGAUCCUCCUGCUGAGUGGAGCCGACUGGAGAGAUGAAACAUUGAACUGGUUCAACUGGUUCACUGUUAGACUGGAUGAGUUCAUUAAAGUUAUUUUAGUUGAACUGCAGCGAGCUCGACUGUGAGGCUGAAAUCUGUUCAUAUUUAUGAGCAGUGUGUUCAAAAUCUGAGCUCACUGUGUAAAUUAUUAUAACAUGUGUGUGAACAGAUUUAACCUCUGAACAACAGACUGGACUUUAUUUAAAGCACAGAGGUUUUAUCUGUUGGACCAGAGUUCCCAGUUCACACAGAACUGAACAGUAAAAAUAAUAAAAUGUUUUUUUCUUUAAUAAUUGACUAUAAAGGGAAAAUCUGGUGUGUUUUAACGUGUGUGUUGUUGGGAUUAUUUCUUGUUAUAUUUUUGCCCUUAAGAAAUGUGACUCAACUUAUUAUAAUA
Molecule: long non-coding RNA, 632 nt
Organism: Morone saxatilis (striped sea-bass)
Lineage: Eukaryota; Metazoa; Chordata; Actinopteri; Moronidae
Exons: 3
Source: RefSeq, a predicted model, not a curated record